CAACAAAAUCUCAAUAACUUUUUACUUUCCAAACUUUGUGAACAUGGUCUGCACUUCACUUCAAGUCAAUUUCUGUUCGAAUAAAAGAAUAUCAGUUAGAGUAAAUCAAACGGCAAACGAGUAACAAGAUUACCAGAACUAUAUCCAUAACAAACAAACAUAUAACAGGAAUCUGAUGGUUUUUUGGUCAUUGCCUAAACCUGUUUUUUCCUUGAUUUUAGUUGUUAGAAGCUAGCAGUAAUCAAAUUGGACUUUUCGGCUGUGACUAAUCAUGCAUUUUUCAGGAAGAAAAAAAAAAGCUACUUAACAAGAUAAUCUACAUGAACUGUGCAAUACAUCCUAAAGCUAUUUCCAGAAUCAGUGUGCC
Molecule: non-coding RNA, 367 nt
Organism: Arachis ipaensis
Lineage: Eukaryota; Viridiplantae; Streptophyta; Magnoliopsida; Fabales; Fabaceae
Source: RefSeq, a predicted model, not a curated record